GGUGAAUGCAAUACCGUGCAUCUAUACUGCUCCACACUGUUCCCUUGAGUCCUGUCAUUGCCACCAGAGAACUGAAAUCUGUGCUGCCACCAUGCUCCCCUAGUGAGGACGUGUAGGCCACAAGAUAACAGCAAGCACAGUAAAUAUUGUGUUAUAUGAAAAUGAUUGCUAGCAGAGAGGCUGUUUGUUACAAGCCAUUCUUCCCAAUACAAAAUGGACUGCUUUCUAUUAGUACAGAUUACUGCCACUGAAACAUGAAAGACUGGAAGGAGUAGGAGAAGACCAGUAGAAAUACUGAAAAGAAAGAGAAAGGAGGAAUGAAAGAAAGUCAAGAGAGAGGUACAUUAAAAA
Molecule: long non-coding RNA, 351 nt
Organism: Lagopus muta (rock ptarmigan)
Lineage: Eukaryota; Metazoa; Chordata; Aves; Galliformes; Phasianidae
Exons: 4
Source: RefSeq, a predicted model, not a curated record